Molecule: long non-coding RNA, 231 nt
Organism: Aricia agestis (brown argus)
Lineage: Eukaryota; Metazoa; Arthropoda; Insecta; Lepidoptera; Lycaenidae
Exons: 2
Source: RefSeq, a predicted model, not a curated record
CUGGAACAUAGUUUUUACAAUUUUCAAAAUAUUUGCUGUUUCAUACCCACGACCGACUGCUGUCAGGAUAGAGGUCAUGCGUGGAAACACAUGGAUCUGCCGGAUAACACUGAAAAGUUUGAGAAGAACUCGACUGGAUACUUCGUAAGCACCAUCGUCAGCAAGCAAGAAUGUUUUGUUAUAAAAUAUAGAAAGAAAUUAGUAUUGUAAAUUACAUAUUUCUUUAAGACA